Molecule: ribosomal RNA, 478 nt
Filed under: uncultured bacterium
Lineage: Bacteria
Description: partial 16S ribosomal RNA
Rfam family: Bacterial small subunit ribosomal RNA
Source: RNAcentral
GACGAACGCUGGCGGCGUGCUUAACACAUGCAAGUCGAACGGGAUUUAGUAAACGGAAGCCUCGUAGGAAGAGUACUAAUGAGACUGGCGAACGGGUGAGUAACGCGUGAGCAACCUGCGUGGGACAGUGGGAUAGCCUCAGGAAACCGGGAUUAAUACCGCAUAAAAUCGUAGAAACACAUUUUUCAACGUGCAAAGAUUUAUUGGCCGUGGUUGGGCUGGCGUCUUAUUGGCCAGUUGGCGAGAUAAGAGCCCACGAAGGCGAGGAUCAGUAACCGGUCUGUGAGGCUGAACCGCCACAUUGGAACUGGGCCGCGGUCCAAACUCUUACGGGAGGCAGCAGUGGGGGAUCUUGCACAAUGGGGGAAAUCCUGAUGCCGCGACGGCGGGUGAACGAAGAAGGUAUUCGUAAAGUAAAGCUCUGUCAUAUGCGACGAUACUGACGGUACCAUAGAAGAAAGCUCCGGCUAACUACGUG